RNAcentral lists this ribosomal RNA (466 nucleotides) under Vreelandella stevensii. RNAcentral's name for it is "partial 16S ribosomal RNA". It matches the Rfam family "Bacterial small subunit ribosomal RNA", at positions 338 to 795 of the family's 1533-position model. The record is from RNAcentral. Lineage: Bacteria; Pseudomonadati; Pseudomonadota; Gammaproteobacteria; Oceanospirillales; Halomonadaceae.
CCUACGGGUGGCAGCAGUGGGGAAUAUUGGACAAUGGGCGAAAGCCUGAUCCAGCCAUGCCGCGUGUGUGAAGAAGGCCUUCGGGUUGUAAAGCACUUUCAGUGGGGAAGAAAGCCUUGGGGCUAAUACCCUCGAGGAAGGACAUCACCCACAGAAGAAGCACCGGCUAACUCCGUGCCAGCAGCCGCGGUAAUACGGAGGGUGCUAGCGUUAAUCGGAAUUACUGGGCGUAAAGCGCGCGUAGGCGGUCUGAUAAGCCGGUUUGUGAAAGCCCCGGGCUCAACCUGGGAACGGCAUCCGGAACUGUCAGGCUAGAGUGCAGGAGAGGAAGGUAGAAUUCCCGGUGUAGCGGUGAAAUGCGUAGAGAUCGGGAGGAAUACCAGUGGCGAAGGCGGCCUUCUGGACUGACACUGACGCUGAGGUGCGAAAGCGUGGGUAGCAAACAGGAUUAGAUACCCUGGUAGUC